AAGCUUCCUCCCCUUCCUCUUCCUCUUCCUCAUAAUCUUCCACAUCAGCUGUUGCAUCCUGAUACUGCUGAUACUCUGCCACCAAGUCAUUCAUAUUGCUUUCGGCCUCAGUGAACUCCAUCUCGUCCAUGCCCUCGCCAGUGUACCAGUGCAAGAAAGCCUUCCUCCUGAACAUGGCGGUGAACUGCUCGCUCACCCGCCUGAACAUCUCCUGGAUGGAGGUUGAGUUCCCAAUGAAAGUGGAUGCCAUCUUCAGCCCCUUGGGUGGAAUGUCACACACACUGGAUUUGACAUUGUUUGGUAUCCACUCGACGAAGUAGGAGCUGUUCUUGUUCUGAACAUUGAUCAUCUGCUCAUCGACCUCCUUGGUGCUCAUCUUUCCACGGAACAUGGCUGAGGCGGUCAGGUAACGGCCGUGACGGGGGUCGGCGGCACACAUCAUGUUCUUGGCAUCCCACAUCUGUUGGGUCAACUCAGGAACAGUGAGGGCCCUGUAUUGCUGGGAGCCCCUUGAUGUCAGUGGUGCGAACCCCACCAUGAAGAAGUGGAGGCGGGGGAAGGGAAUCAGGUUCACGGCAAGCUUCCGGAGGUCAGAAUUGAGCUGACCAGGGAACCGGAGGCAGCAGGUGACACCACUCAUUGUAGCAGAGAUGAGGUGAUUAAGAUCUCCGACUGAAGUAUAAAUUAGAUGAUGAAUAAAUAAAAGUGCGAUAAGAAGACUAAAUUUAAACUACUGAUACCAUUAUUCUUCGGUACCAUCAAGAAGAUUAGAAUUCCGAAACAAUUUUAUUUUCAGUUAUUCAAUCUAAAAAUCAAGUAUUAAGCAAUGAAGAAAUGUAACUUCAUGUUCCUAUAACUGACUAAAGUAAAGAGAAACUACUGAAACACUAUUCGAGGAUAAGGACUCGUGAUAUAGUUAGUAGAGUUAUCAGAUGUUCUGAUGGAUGAUGAAAACAAAACACUACUGUGGAUAGAAAAAAAAAAAUUUUGUAGAACUAUACAAGUGAAGGAGAAGAAAAAAGGUACAUGCAUCACAAGACAAAGGCAUGCAUGCAAAGGGCAUGGAGAUAAAAAUUGGCUUAUGUAUUAAUAUUUAAUGUAAAACAGGAUAUGCUAAAUUCUAGAAAUUAAAGGGAAAAUGUACAAUAGUUUCUUAAACAAGUUAUAAAUUAAAGUUACAAGAUAAGAUUAAUUAAUGGGAGAGGAACAUGUACCACUGGUUUUUCAAGUUCCUUAAUAUUAACAUAUGGGGAUUCUUUGUGCAAUAACCAUUAAAAUGAUUUAAUUUAUAACAUAGUUUUCACUUACAGGUUGGGGUUGCAAGCUUUAGUGUGCGGAAGCAAAUGUCAUACAGUGCUUCAUUGUCCAGCACCAUACAUUCAUCAGCAUUCUCAACAAGCUGAUGCACUGAGAGAGUAGCAUUAUAUGGUUCCACAACUGUAUCAGAGACCUUUGGUGAUGGAAAAACAGAGAAUGUCAGCAUCAUGCGAUCUGGAUACUCCUCUCUGAUCUUGGAGAUGAGAAGUGUGCCCAUGCCAGAACCAGUACCUCCUCCUAAAGAAUGGCAGACUUGGAACCCUGCAGAACAGGUUAACCAGAUGUAGCAGGUUCACAGAGAGCAGAAAAAAGGUGCCUUUUUAUCUUGCUUUUCUUUGCCUUCAUGAGGAGUAAGAUAACAUGUUUGAAACAGAUUUGAUUUUAUAUAUAUAUAUAUAUAUGUGUGUGUGUGUAUGUGUGUGUGUGUGUGUGUGUGUGUGUGUGUGUGCGCGCCAAAAGAACUAUAUUUAGUAUUUAACCAUCUUGUAACAUGUGCGCUGGUCUCACACAAAAAUUAGUUCAACAUAGCCAUAUGUAUCUGCAGGUAGAAAGCUUUGAAGUUUGCAAGGAAGAACAAUAUGAAAAAGCAGAUUGUACAAAUCAUUUGAAAUCUUCAAAUGGUCUUUAUCUGAAGUAUUCAUUUACUUUUUCUUUUGCAGAGAAGACCUUCUGAGGUUGGCACAAGUUGGACAAUGAAUAACUAAGUCUUAGACUUUCAAUAAUUCCUGCUACAAACAUCUCCAGCUUACAAUAGUUUAUACUAGAUCAAGAAUUAACGUUACAAGAAUUUUGGCCAAAUGUUCAUCAUCCUAGAAAGCUGAAGUAUUGGCUAAAGAAGAACGCCACAAAUCUCAAUAAUUACAUCUAAUUAGUUUUAUACAACAUUAACAUAGUGCAGGAAUUUUCUUAAAGGAACUGGAUGAACAUCUUAUAAUAGUUUAUGCUAGAUCAAGAAUUAACUUUAGAAGAAUUUUGGCCAAAUGUUCAUCAUCCUAGAACGCUGAAGUGUUGGCUAAAGAAGCAUGCCACAAAUCUCAACAAUUACUUCUAAUUAGUUUUAAACCAGCAUUCACAUAGUGCAGGCAUGUGCUUUAAGGAACCGGAUGAACAUCAACAACUAGAAUUAAUUUUUAUCUGUGCGUGAAAUUUUCAGCACAACUACACAUGACAAAAUAUUAAUUGUUUAACUCUACAAUUGUAUAUACUUCGCGGGACCAUAUAAACAUAUACAAAAGAGUUGAAGUCUAAAGAGCAAAAAGAUCAAACCAAUUAGACCAACUGGGAGUAAGAUAAAGAUCAAGGGACAAUAUUUUCCUUCAACAGCGAAUACAGAGCAGAAAUAAUGAAUUCCAACACUAUUCUGCAGAAAAAAAUCCUUGUUCGAAUACUCAAACCAUACCCAGCUCCAAGAAGUAUACCGUAAGCAAAACAAACAAAAAGACCUCAGAUUCAUUACAUCAAACAACCAGAUACGACAUUCACAAAAUAGAUUAAAAAAAUAGUAAAAUUCCAACAUCCCUAAUUUCUCCAGCAUGAAGAUGAGAACCACAACGUUUAAUGAUGCAUUCGUUAACCACUAAUGCAAGGUCAGAUCAUUCAUACAGAGAAGUCGAGCAUAGAAAUCAGACAGGGGUAGUUUAGCAUUCAUUUAACUCCACAAGAAAUCACAAAAAUAGGAUUUUUUACAUAUAAGUUAGCAAUUAUCAAAUGAAAUCUUCCAUAUACUUAGCAGAAUUUGAACAAUAGCUAAUAAAAUCUUAAGAAUCAAGAAGAUUUUAGAAAGGAUCUGGUCUAAAUAUGAACCAUGA
Molecule: long non-coding RNA, 3125 nt
Filed under: Musa acuminata (dwarf banana)
Lineage: Eukaryota; Viridiplantae; Streptophyta; Magnoliopsida; Zingiberales; Musaceae
Description: long non-coding RNA (MACU_LNC003261)
Source: RNAcentral